GUCAGAUUCUACAGAUGACUGUGUUUUACUGUAAUGUUCUAGAAACACUAAAGACAUCAGCGUCCUAUUUUUCCCAUUUCAAAUAAAUGCUGUACUUUUGAACCUCUUGUUCAUCUGUGAAUCCCGAAAAAUAAAAUGUAUCACAGUUUGCACAAAAAUAUUGUGGAGCACAACUGUGUUCAACAUUGAUAAUAAUCAGAAAUGUGUCUUGAGCAGCAAAUCAUCAUAUUAGAAUGAUUUCUGAAGAUCAUGUGACACUGAAGACUGGAGUAAUGAUGCUGAAAAUACAGCUGCACAUCACAGAAAUAAAUUACAGUUUAACAGAGAUUCACACAGAAAACAGCUGUUUUAAAUUCCAAUAAUAUUUCACUGUUUUACUGUAUUUUUGAUUAAAUAAAUGCAGCCUUGGUGAGCAGAAGAAACCUAAUCUUAAUUAUUCUAAACAUUUGAACAAUAGUGAGCAUGAGCUGCUGUUUCAUUCUAGGUUAGUUAUGCAUUAGAUCACAGUUUAUCCAGCAGUUCUCUCUGUGAAGCAACAGAUCACUCAGAUUAGUGCACUAUUUAUAGAAAAUACCAUUUUUGAAUUGCAUUGUCCAUCAAUACCAAAAUAAUUAAAUAGAAUAAUAAAAAAACAUUAAAGAGUAAUUGUAAAUCAAUGGUCUGUUUGUGGUUAAUAGGAGAGACACAAGGGGCCUGGAGCAGAAACAGAGGUGCAGGUUGCAAUAUUCUGUUCGGAAAUGUGAAGUUGUGUUAUAAAGUCCUGAAACACAGCAGCUAAACCUCAUGAGGACUCAUAUUUUAUACAGUGCUCAGUGUGUGUGUGUGUGUGUGUGUGUGUGUGUGUGUGUGUGUGUGUGUGCGUGGCACGUGCAGCAUGGAGGUGGAUUAGUGCUACUGUUCCACUUGCUGCAUUACUGCCGUUCUCUCCAUCAGCCAAUGCCAUCUGGACACAAACACACACACACACGCACACACGCGUCCCUCUAUUACCACUGUACCACCACCUGACCCCUGACCCCAUCAGCACCAGCUCUCACACACACACAGACACACGCACAAUGUACCCAAGCACAAACAGAAUGUGUUGUGCGCUCAUGCAUGAAGGCUUAUGCUGGGACACAUGGCUCAAGUGUGUGUUCGUGUGUGUGUGUGUGUGUGUGUGUGUGUGUGUGUGUGUGUGUGUGUGUGUGUGUGUGAGAGAGGCGCAUGCACAAUUAACACAAUCAAACCUGAGCUUAUUAAUCAUUCUGUAUGAAUGAGCUUUAAUCACACACACACACACACACACACACACACAGAACAACACACCAUUGUUCGCAUUUACCUCACUUCCUGUUGCCCAACAUCACAAACAAAGUUCAAUACAAUCCGAGCAAAUUCAGGUUCAUUGGGACAUUUCCUAUAUUUAACAUUAUGCAGAAUCACAUAAACUUCCUCAAAUCACUUAAGUCAAACCCAAAAUUUUUGUGCAUUUUUCUAAAUAAUAAACUAUAAUUUCUAUACCUUUAUUUUUAUUUAGUUUAACUCUGUAAACUUUUUCCCCUUCAGCAAUAAUCCAAGUGAUUCUAUGCUCUAUGCUUCAGGUCUAUGCUCAAAAUGUGUUGAACAGGUAACAAAUGCAUCAUAACUAUUGCAUAAAUAGAAUUUAGUACCAGAAAAAAAAACCUAAAAACACAACAUUUAAAAUUAAAAACAUUAAUGAGCAAAAUCUUAGAACAUUCAAUUAAUUUAAAUUUAUUAAAAAGAAGUUAUUUUGACCUCCAUGUGAGGAGCUCCAGGUUGAGUGUGUGUCAGAGCUACAGAGACUUGCGUAAUCUCCACACACACACACACACACUCAGACAGCCACCUGCUGCUGUCUGCUGUGGAUUAUCAAUCUGUCUGAGUCCAGAUGUCUCAUAUGUCUCUUCAUCAGCUCAUCUAUAUAUGUCUUCAAAACAAUCACUAAAUGACUUCAUUCUCACGACUGUGAGUUUGUGUUAUAAAGAUUGGGAUUUUAAAUGCAUGUACUGUAUACACAAAAACAGCAAAACAACAAACCUACAGGCCAAUUUACAUUUACAUGCAUAAUACUGAUAAAUCUGAUAUAUUCCUACAAUAAAACCAUAGUGAAAUACAUUAAAAAUCUAAAAAUGAAAUACUCCUAAAACUACUGGAUGCAGCUGAACACCUACACAGUGUUAGUCUUUCAAUUUCAUUCUCAUUUCUAAAGAAUUGAGAUGAACAUUCCUGCUUUAAUAAGACAGAUGAUGAUUUACAGAAGCACAAAGUGGGUGUCUGAGUCAUUAGCUUAUGAGUGUUUGUUAAAAACCUUUGCUGGUGUGAUGAAGAAUGACUUGAUUUCAGUCUGUAUGAAGUAUUUUGGUAGUUUUAGUGCAUUUUGGUUGUGAAAAUUACUGCUGUGCCAAACUAAAGGUGGUUAAAAAAAUGUUUGUUUUUUUUUCCAAAAUUAUUUUCUAGAGAUUAUAUUCUAGUGAACCUUGCAGCUAUAAGGAUUCUUUAAAAAUGUUUGCAUGUUUAUUUAAGCUGUUAACCUACACUAGUCACUAACCACAACUUUAGUUCUGCACUUCACUCAAACUAAUUCAAACGCUCUGAAAACUCAACAUCACGCUGGACUGGAUCUCUAACACACAACCAGAUGUCUUGAGAAGCAACUAAAUCAACUAAUAAACACUCAAACAAUCAUAAAACAUCAAGUUUCAGAAUAAGCCCCGCCCACCCUCUUCCUCGGGCCCUUUCCUUCACCUCAUCCAGAUCUCCAUCCUUCCAUCCAUCUCUCUCACACGUACUGUACCUGUGUGUGUCUUCCAAAUAUCUUUCUCUGUCUAUCCACAUCACCGAAACACAAACUCCUCUCAGAAGCACACUAAAGUCUCAUUCAGGUGUGUUUCUCGUCCUCUUUCACUCUCGCUGUCUGUCCACGUCUCUCUGCUCACAAUCUCACUACAAAUGCCUCUUUCCCCUCUUUAUCCCGAGUCAGCGCUGGGUCCUAGUGCCACACCAUCAGGAGAAAAGGAAAAUUCCAAAACAACAAACCAAAGUCAUAUAAAGAGAUAGAC
Long non-coding RNA from Cyprinus carpio carpio, 3062 nucleotides. NCBI's taxonomy places the organism in Eukaryota, Metazoa, Chordata, Actinopteri, Cypriniformes, Cyprinidae. The record is from Ensembl.